RNAcentral lists this long non-coding RNA (225 nucleotides) under Ricinus communis (castor bean). RNAcentral's name for it is "long non-coding RNA (RCOM_LNC000580)". The record is from RNAcentral. Lineage: Eukaryota; Viridiplantae; Streptophyta; Magnoliopsida; Malpighiales; Euphorbiaceae.
GUAAACCAAGUUUGUGUUGUGCCAAAUAGCAUGGUCGGGAACGCUUUAUAGAGGAUUCCAUCUGAGGAACUACGUAACUAUAUCAUCGUGUUAUAUAUAAUGAUGUGCUCCUUGGGAUCUCCAAGCCUAUCGUAAGGUGAUAAAGUGGGGACUUUAAAUUUGCUGGGCACGGUCUCUUUCUGGAUAUUCUUCGAGAAAAGGGAUGAGGUGUCCAAUAUGGUACUU